AGAGUUUGAUCCUGGCUCAGAACGAACGCUGGCGGCGUGCCUAACACAUGCAAGUCGAGCGGUCCAUGGGUUUCGGCCCAUGGGUAGCGGCAGACGGGUGAGUAACACGUGGGUAACCUGUCCUUGGGUGGGGAAUAACUACUCGAAAGGGUGGCUAAUACCGCAUAAGACCACGGUCUUGAGGGGCUGAGGUCAAAGGUGCAAAUCGCCUGAGGAGGGGCCCGCGGCCGAUUAGCUAGUUGGUGAGGUAAUGGCUCACCAAGGCGACGAUCGGUAGCUGGUCUGAGAGGAUGAUCAGCCACACUGGUACUGAGACACGGACCAGACUCCUACGGGAGGCAGCAGUGGGGAAUAUUGCGCAAUGGGCGAAAGCCUGACGCAGCAACGCCGCGUGGGUGAUGAAGGCCUUCGGGUCGUAAAGCCCUGUCAGAUGGGACGAAGAAAGUGACGGUACCAUCGAAGGAAGCACCGGCUAACUCCGUGCCAGCAGCCGCGGUAAUACGGAGGGUGCAAGCGUUGUUCGGAAUCACUGGGCGUAAAGGGCGCGUAGGCGGCUCCAUUAGUCUGAUGUGAAAGCCCGGGGCUCAACCCCGGAAGUGCAUUGGAAACUGUGGAGCUUGAGUUCGGGAGAGGAAGGCAGAAUUCCCGGUGUAGGGUUGAAAUCCGUAGAUAUCGGGAGGAAAACCGGGUGGCGAAGGCGGCCUUCUGGAACGAAACUGACGCUGAGGCGCGAAAGCGUGGGGAGCAAACAGGAUUAGAGACCCUGGUAGUCCACGCUGUAAACGAUGGAUGCUGGUGUGGGAAUUCCAUACGGAAUUCCGUGCCGAAGCUAACGCAUUAAGCAUCCCGCCUGGGGAGUACGGUCGCAAGACUAAAACUCAAAGGAAUUGACGG
Molecule: ribosomal RNA, 894 nt
Filed under: uncultured delta proteobacterium
Lineage: Bacteria; Deltaproteobacteria
Description: bacterial SSU rRNA
Rfam family: Bacterial small subunit ribosomal RNA
Source: RNAcentral